ACGGACGAAAUCAGUGAUCCUAUGCUGCCGAGAAAAGCAUCGACGCGAGGUUCCAAUCGCCCGUACCCCAAACCGACUCAGGUGGUCAGGUAGAGAAUACUAAGGAGAUCGAGAGAAUCGUGGUUAAGGAACUCGGCAAAAUGCCCCCGUAACUUCGGGAGAAGGGGGGCCUGAGGCGUGUAGGGAUUUACUCCUGAAGCGUUUGAAGGCCGCAGAGACCAGUGGGAAGCGACUGUUUACUAAAAACACAGGUCCGUGCUAAGUCGCAAGACGAUGUAUACGGACUGACGCCUGCCCGGUGCUGGAAGGUUAAGAGGAACGGUUAGCACGCAAGUGCGAAGCUGAGAAUUUAAGCCCCAGUAAACGGCGGUGGUAACUAUAACCAUCCUAAGGUAGCGAAAUUCCUUGUCGGGUAAGUUCCGACCUGCACGAAUGGCGUAACGACUUCCCAGCUGUCUCAACCGCGAACUCGGCGAAAUUGCACUACGAGUAAAGAUGCUCGUUACGCGCAGCAGGACGGAAAGACCCCGUGACCUUUACUACAGCUUGGUAUUGGUGUUCGGUGUGGCUUGUGUAGGAUAGGUGGGAGACUGUGAAGCUCGGACGCUAGUUCGGGUGGAGUCAUUGUUGAAAUACCACUCUGGUCACUCUGGAUAUCUAACUUCGAACCGUAAUCCGGUUCAGGGACAGUGCCUGGUGGGUAGUUUAACUGGGGCGGUUGCCUCCUAAAGAGUAACGGAGGCGCCCAAAGGUUCCCUCAACCUGGUUGGUAAUCAGGUGUCGAGUGUAAGUGCACAAGGGAGCUUGACUGUGAGACUGACAAGUCGAGCAGGGACGAAAGUCGGGACUAGUGAUCCGGCAGUGGCUUGUGGAAGCGCUGUCGCUCAACGGAUAAAAGGUACCUCGGGGAUAACAGGCUGAUCUUGCCCAAGAGUCCAUAUCGACGGCAUGGUUUGGCACCUCGAUGUCGGCUCGUCGCAUCCUGGGGCUGGAGUAGGUCCCAAGGGUUGGGCUGUUCGCCCAUUAAAGCGGUACGCGAGCUGGGUUUAGAACGUCGUGAGACAGUUCGGUCCCUAUCCGCUGCGCGCGUAGGAAAUUUGAGAAGAUCUAUCCCUAGUACGAGAGGACCGGGAUGGACGAACCUCUGGUGUGUCAGUUGUUCCGCCAGGAGCACCGCUGAUUAGCUACGUUCGGAACGGAUAACCGCUGAAAGCAUCUAAGCGGGAAGCCGGCUUCGAGAUGAGAUUUCCAUCCCUUUU
This 1259-nucleotide ribosomal RNA is filed under the name Clavibacter michiganensis. Its description in RNAcentral is "partial 23S ribosomal RNA". It matches the Rfam family "Bacterial large subunit ribosomal RNA", at positions 1581 to 2823 of the family's 2925-position model. The record is from RNAcentral. Lineage: Bacteria; Bacillati; Actinomycetota; Actinomycetes; Micrococcales; Microbacteriaceae. RNAcentral also lists the same sequence under 1 other name.